AAACUUACCACCGAAGCUACGGGCUUAAGUUAAACUUAAGCGGUAGAGGAGCGUCGUAAUCGGGCUGAAGUCGUACCGGAAGGAGCGGUGGACUGAUUACGAGUGAGAAUGUUGGCAUUAGUAGCGAGAUGUGAGUGAGAAUCUCACAGGCCGAAAACCUAAGGUUUCCUCAGGAAGGCUCGUCCGCUGAGGGUUAGUCGGGACCUAAGCCGAGGCCGAAAGGCGUAGGUGAUGGACAAUCGGUUGAUAUUCCGAUACCACUAUUAAUCGUUAAAACCGAAGGCGUAACGCAGGAGGAUAGGAUGUGCUAGCUAUUGGAUGCUAGUCUAAGCACUUAGGGAGUUCAGCAAGGCAAAUCCGGCUGAACAAUUCUGAGGUGUGAUGGGAAGGAACUACGGUUCCGAAGUAUCUGAUUCCACGCUGCCAAGAAAAGCGUCUAGGGAGAGAGGUAGUGCCGUACCGCAAACCGACACAGGUAGGUGAGGAGAGAAUCCUAAGGCCGGCGGAAGAAUCACAGUUAAGGAACUCGGCAAAUUGACCCCGUAACUUAGGGAGAAGGGGUGCCUACGCAAGUAGGCCGCAGAGAAUAGGCCCAAGCAACUGUUUAGCAAAAACACAGGUCUCUGCUAAAGCGAAAGCUGAUGUAUAGGGGCUGACGCCUGCCCGGUGCUGGAAGGUUAAGGGGAAUACUUAGCGCAAGCGAAGGUAUGAACUUAAGCCCCAGUAAACGGCGGCCGUAACUAUAACGGUCCUAAGGUAGCGAAAUUCCUUGUCAGGUAAGUUCUGACCCGCACGAAUGGCGUAAUGACUUGGGCACUGUCUCAACUGUGAAUCCGGCGAAGUUGUAGUACGAGUGAAGAUGCUCGUUACCCCGCGAUUGACGGAAAGACCCCGUAGAGCUUUACUGUAGCUUAGCAUUGAAUUUCGGUAUUGUCUGUACAGGAUAGGUGGGAGACUAGGAAGUCAGGGCGUCAGCCUUGAUGGAGUCAUCCUUGGGAUACCACCCUGACAGUACUGAGGUUCUAACUGGAUGCCAUGAAACUGGGUGACAGGACAUUGUUAGGUGGGCAGUUUGACUGGGGCGGUCGCCUCCUAAAAAGUAACGGAGGCGCCCAAAGGUUCCCUCAGAACGGUCGGAAAUCGUUCGAAGAGUGCAAAGGCAGAAGGGAGCCUGACUGCGACACCCACAAGUGGAGCAGGGACGAAAGUCGGGCUUAGUGAUCCGGUGGUACCUCGUGGGAGGGCCAUCGCUCAACGGAUAAAAGCUACCUCGGGGAUAACAGGCUGAUCUCCCCCAAGAGUCCACAUCGACGGGGAGGUUUGGCACCUCGAUGUCGGCUCGUCGCAUCCUGGGGCUGAAGUAGGUCCCAAGGGUUGGGCUGUUCGCCCAUUAAAGCGGCACGCGAGCUGGGUUCAGAACGUCGUGAGACAGUUCGGUCCCUAUCCGUCGCGGGCGUAGGAAAUUUGAGAGGAGCUGUCCUUAGUACGAGAGGACCGGGAUGGACUGACCUCUGGUGUACCAGUUGUUCCGCCAGGAGCACAGCUGGGUAGCUAUGUCGGGAAGAGAUAAACGCUGAAAGCAUCUAAGCGUGAAGCUCACCUCAAGAUUAGAUUUCCCAUAGCGUAAGCUAGUAAGAUCCCUUGAAGAACACAAGGUUGAUAGGUCAGAGAUGUAAGCAUGGUAACAUGUUCAGUUGACUGAUACUAAUAGAUCGAGGGCUUGACCAA
This 1728-nucleotide ribosomal RNA is filed under the name Clostridium fallax. RNAcentral's name for it is "bacterial LSU rRNA". It matches the Rfam family "Bacterial large subunit ribosomal RNA", at positions 1184 to 2925 of the family's 2925-position model. Lineage: Bacteria; Bacillati; Bacillota; Clostridia; Eubacteriales; Clostridiaceae. The record is from RNAcentral.